UACUAUAAAACAUUACAAUGAUUCGCUUGCAGCAGAAAGCAACAGUUUUCUUUUGUUUAAUUUUGAUAUUAUUUGUUUUCGAGUCCGCUGCAAUUUUAACCAGUAUCAAGAACAAGAUAUUUAAAGCUUUAGAAGAAGGCGGAAAACAAAUACAAUAUCUUGGGGACUCCACCAUGAAUGUGGGCAGCAGCAUUCAGUCAUUGGGUAAAAUAGCAGACUCACAGGUAGAUAUGGUAAAAAAAAUAGUUGGUUUAAAAACUGCACCAGCAUAAAAUUGUGAAAAUAAAUACAAAGGCUUCAAAAUGAUUGCAAAUA
Drosophila willistoni is the source of this 315-nucleotide long non-coding RNA. RefSeq lists it as uncharacterized. The record is from RefSeq and is a predicted model, not a curated record. Lineage: Eukaryota; Metazoa; Arthropoda; Insecta; Diptera; Drosophilidae. The transcript has 2 exons.